UCAUCUUCCACAUUGGGUUGCAUUACAUC
This 29-nucleotide small RNA is filed under the name Bombyx mori (domestic silkworm). Its description in RNAcentral is "piRNA piR-bmo-1685909". Lineage: Eukaryota; Metazoa; Arthropoda; Insecta; Lepidoptera; Bombycidae. The record is from RNAcentral.